Molecule: ribosomal RNA, 450 nt
Filed under: uncultured bacterium
Lineage: Bacteria
Description: partial 16S ribosomal RNA
Rfam family: Bacterial small subunit ribosomal RNA
Source: RNAcentral
GUGGGGAAUCUUCCGCAAUGGACGAAAGUCUGACGGAGCGACGCCGCGUGAGUGAAGAAGGCCUUCGGGUCGUAAAGCUCUGUCAUCAGGGACGAACGGCCGGUGGAGUGGAAAGCCACCGGAUUGACGGUACCUGAGAAGGAAGCCACGGCUAACUACGUGCCAGCAGCCGCGGUAAUACGUAGGUGGCAAGCGUUGUCCGGAAUUAUUGGGCGUAAAGCGCGCGCAGGUGGGAUCUUAAGUCCAUUUUGAAAGUUCGGAGCUCAACUCCGUGAUGGGAUGGAAACUGGGAUUCUUGAGUACCGGAGAGGAAAGCGGAAUUCCCCGUGUAGCGGUGAAAUGCGUAGAUAUGGGGAGGAACACCAGUGGCGAAGGCGGCUUUCUGGACGGUGUCUGACACUGAGGCGCGAAAGCUAGGGGAGCGAACGGGAUUAGAAACCCGGGUAGUCC